Molecule: ribosomal RNA, 429 nt
Filed under: uncultured archaeon
Lineage: Archaea
Description: bacterial SSU rRNA
Rfam family: Archaeal small subunit ribosomal RNA
Source: RNAcentral
UACCUGCAGCUCAAGUGGUGACCGCUAUUAUUGGGCCUAAAACGUUCGUAGCUGGUUUGGUAAAUGCCUGGGUAAAUCGUGUAGCUCAACUAUACGAAUUCCGGGUAGACUGUCAAACUUGAGACCGGGAGAAGCUAGAGGUACUCCUGGGGUAGAGGUGAAAUUCUGUAAUCCUGGGGGGACCACCAGUGGCGAAGGCGUCUAGCUAGAACGGGUUUGACGGUGAGGAACGAAGCCCUGGGGCGCAAACCGGAUUAGAUACCCGGGUAGUCCAGGGUGUAAACGCUGCUUGCUUGAUGUUAGUUGGGCUCCGAGCCCAAUUAGUGUCGGAGAGAAGUUGUUAAGCAAGCUGCCUGGGAAGUACGAUCGCAAGAUUGAAACUUAAAGGAAUUGGCGGGGGAGCACAGCAACGGGUGGAGCGUGCGGUUU